This 305-nucleotide ribosomal RNA is filed under the name uncultured bacterium. Its description in RNAcentral is "bacterial SSU rRNA". It matches the Rfam family "Bacterial small subunit ribosomal RNA", at positions 335 to 658 of the family's 1533-position model. The record is from RNAcentral.
UGCCUACGGGGGGCAGCAGUGGGGAAUAUUGCACAAUGGGGGAAACCCUGAUGCAGCAACGCCGCGUGAGUGAAGAAGUAUUUCGGUAUGUAAAGCUCUAUCAGCAGGGAAGAAGAUGACGGUACCUGAGUAAGAAGCUCCGGCUAACUACGUGCCAGCAGCCGCGGUAAUACGUAGGGGGCAAGCGUUAUCCGGAUUUACUGGGUGUAAAGGGAGCGUAGACGGUGAGACAAGUCUGAAGUGAAAGCCCGGGGCUCAACCCCGGGACUGCUUUGGAAACUUUUUUGCUGGAGUACCGGAGAGGG